GUGCUUACUCUGGCAACACAUACAUUAAAAUUGGAAUGAUACAAAGAUUAGCACGGACCCAUGCAAUAUUGACAAACAAUUCAUGAAGCAGCCUAUAUUUUU
Dipodomys ordii (Ord's kangaroo rat) is the source of this 102-nucleotide small nuclear RNA. The record is from Ensembl. NCBI's taxonomy places the organism in Eukaryota, Metazoa, Chordata, Mammalia, Rodentia, Heteromyidae.